Molecule: long non-coding RNA, 1919 nt
Filed under: Homo sapiens (human)
Lineage: Eukaryota; Metazoa; Chordata; Mammalia; Primates; Hominidae
Description: non-protein coding lnc-ZCCHC7-2:23
Source: RNAcentral
CUCUCCUCCCGGGUCUGCGCGGACGCGGCCUCCUUACCUCAUUUGUCCUCGCCCCUCCCCGUCCCUCUACGCGUUUUGGUCCCUGUUUGGUGCUUUCUGUUUGCAGCUACGGCAGUGAAUCUGGGCAUAGGAACCAAUCAGAAACAAUCGCUUCAGCAAUCAAGACCAUUGUUCAUCAUGGAGGAACCCAUGGAUACCUCUGAGCCUCUAUCUGCAUUACCAUUCACUGGGCAGCAGUCUUUUGAGCCAAGUGGCAAAUUUGGACAGUAUCCAUCGAUGCAGAUGAACCACAUCCAGGCACUGGGGAAGUGGAGGACAUAGAACAGCUCAAUCAGUGUUUGAUCCAACACUUCCAUCUCAUUAAGACAAGUUUGAUUUUUCUUUGCUUUUUAUUUCAUGGAAUACAUGAGAAUCUCUUAACUGUUGGAGUUUCCAAGGAGGCAUACCUCAUGACUUCAGUUAAUGGAAAGAACAAAACUAAAAUGCUGUAUGGCCAAAGCCACAAAGGGAAGGAUCCACAAUUUACAUUCUUGGAGCUAUCAUCUGUACUGUACUGUUGUGAUCUACUGAUUGGCAUUGGCAUAGUAGUAGGGGUCAAGUGACAGAAUCCGUGCCAGCAGUCUCCAGGUUCAGAAGCAAUUCAAGACCCUGAUGAUAGCUCUCCAGCAACCAACACAUGGUGAUUGUGCCAACUUGUUGCUCAGUUAUAAUGCAGGGCCAGUGAUUGGUUUAAGUGAAGACCAUGGUUGAGAUCAUUUGUCUUUGGUCUAAUAGAAUUUGAGUCUAGUAGAAUUUGAGUCUCCAGGGAAAGAGCUACUUGACCAAAUUAAACUAGUAGCAGGUAGAGCAUGAAUGACAGCAUAUUAUACCAUCAAGAUGUUCUUAGAGCAGUGUAUGGAUGGAUCGAUUGUACUGCCAUCAGUUGUGACUGACGUUGUAUUCAAGGAGAAAGAGAAACUUGUUUAGAAAGCACUUUGAAAGUUUUUUGAGUACGGGGGUGCCCUGUAUCACCCCGUUAUGGUUGAACUUUCUCCUUCAAAAUUACCAGACUUGGCAGCAGUGGCAAAUUAUUGGGCUAAAAGACUUAAUCAGACAUAUUCUGGGUUCAAGGCUCCUAAUAUAAUACCUGGUGCAAACAUUAUACUUCCACUCAUUCAGAUGGUUGCAUCCUGCCAGGCAUCCAGUGGGACUGGGAAUAUGGACACUUGAACAUUAAACAUCCUGAAGAAUUUUGGAAUGACAGGUUACAAGUGAACAUAAUCAGUUCUCUAUAUUAAAAAAAAAAAAAGAUUUGGGCAUAGAUUGGGCUCACAUAAUCUUUAGAGAGAUUUUUUCAUUUUUGUGAAAGUACAGAAAUUCUUAACUGCUUAUGAAAUGCUGAUUGUUAAACAGCAUCCACAGCUAUUUUGUGUUGUUUCCCUGACCCCACCCUGAAGAAAAGAAAAAUUAUGGCAUAUUGAAAACAGCAGUAUGAUGUAAGAGAAAAGAUCACAAAUUCCUUGAGGGUGGGUCUUUUCCAUACUCAUAAGCCUAUUUAUAAUAUUCAGAGUAAUUUAUUGACACAUAUUAAUAUUCCCUCCUAUCCCAUUAAUUGCCAAAUCAUCAAACAUUUAUUGAGCACCUACUCUGUGUAGGGUGUAAGCAGUACUGGGGACUUACAGUGAUAAAAGACAUAGUUUUAGCCUUAAGUGAUGUACUGUUUCACUGAAGAGAUGGAAUAUAAGAAGCCAAGUAAUUUAUGGAAUUCUCUUCUUUGUUUUUCUUUUUUUUUUUUGCAGUGGGGUCUUACCCUAUAAAUAGAGCAAGGCUAGUUUGGAACUCCUGGGCUUGUGUGGUCCUCCCGCCUUAGCCUUCAGAGUAGCUGGGAGUGCAGGUGUGAACACAGCUUUGAAAUCUCAAUUUUUUUUUUUUUUUUUUGA